CCUUGUACACACCGCCCGUCACACCAUGGGAGUUGGCUUUACCCGAAGGUGGUGCGCUAACCCGCAAGGGAGGCAGCCAACCACGGUAGGGUCAGCGACUGGGUG
Molecule: ribosomal RNA, 105 nt
Filed under: uncultured bacterium
Lineage: Bacteria
Description: partial 16S ribosomal RNA
Rfam family: Bacterial small subunit ribosomal RNA
Source: RNAcentral